RNAcentral lists this ribosomal RNA (233 nucleotides) under uncultured bacterium. RNAcentral's name for it is "partial 16S ribosomal RNA". It matches the Rfam family "Bacterial small subunit ribosomal RNA", at positions 103 to 334 of the family's 1533-position model. The record is from RNAcentral.
CGGGUGAGUAACGCGUGAGGAACCUGCCUCAAAGAGGGGGACAACAGUUGGAAACGACUGCUAAUACCGCAUAAGCCCACGGCUCGGCAUCGAGCAGAGGGAAAAGGGGCAAUCCGCUUUGAGAUGGCCUCGCGUCCGAUUAGCUAGUUGGUGAGGUAACGGCCCACCAAGGCGACGAUCGGUAGCCGGACUGAGAGGUUGAACGGCCACAUUGGGACUGAGACACGGCCCAG